This is a long non-coding RNA of Mercenaria mercenaria, 1587 nucleotides long. RefSeq lists it as uncharacterized. The transcript is spliced from 3 exons. The record is from RefSeq and is a predicted model, not a curated record. NCBI's taxonomy places the organism in Eukaryota, Metazoa, Mollusca, Bivalvia, Venerida, Veneridae.
ACUUUUAUUUCUUUUUUUGAGAGGUUUGGGACGUAAAGGGAUGAAAUAGUGCUGAGGGGGUAGGUUCGUGAUUUGGGUAUAAUAGAUACAACAUACAAUAAUUUUAUAACUAUACAUUUCAUAACGGAAACUACAGUUGCUAGAAAGGAAUGAUAUUGUUAUAAUCAGGCAACCAAAACGCAGUAAAAUCCUCACGUCAUUUGAUUUCUUUGCCAGACAAUGAUGGCUACAAAAACACAAGAGGUCACUUUUUAUCGCAAGAAUCAAAAAUAUAAGCUACAUACACGAUACAAGUCAUGUCGAGUGUAAUUUACUUAUUUAAAGAUAUUGUAGGGAGUCAGUGGCACAGUGGUUAGCAGGUUGGACUACAACGCCAGCGGCCCGGGUUCGAUUCCCAGCAUUCAGUGCUGGGUGAUUUACUUAAAUUAGUACUGUUUCCAGCAGUAUUGGCUGGAUACUGGAUGCUGGGGAGGUAAAUAUGACACCUGCCGUAGGCUCGGCUAGAAAUAAGUUGUUCCAUCCAUUCCAGGUGGGGACUUUCGUCGACUACCCACGUUAAAGAAGAAACUUUACCUUUUAAGUAAUAAUAUGAUAUUGUUGAGUUUAUUCCAUCAUGUUCGCGGACCAAUGACAAUGUAAACCACUUUGUAACAAACAAAUUUAUAUUGCACAUACGACGUUAAUCACGUCGAGCAUAACUUAAUUGAUAUGUUGAUUUUAAAUUACACUAGUUUUUUUUUUCGACAGUUUUCCUGUUUAUAUUUGGAUGCACCAAUAAGAGUGCAAAAUCAUUUGUAAUUAAUAAGUACAUGUUAUAAGCGAUGUCAAAAUUAUAAUGAAUAAUGUUCAUUUCUUUGUUUUGAAGGUAUAUAUUGUCAUGUGGUUUUUGUCCUGUUAGAAAGACAGAAAACAAAAGUAGAUUAAAACGACUAUAAAAACAUUUUAAAACAUUAUAAAACAGUUUAGUUAUGCUAAUUAAGACGGAUGUGAUCAAGGUGGGAGUUUCUUAUAUAAAAUGCGAACGAUAAGCUCAGUACCUCAAGAUACAGAAGCGGAAUCACAAUCAUAAUCAACAUACAAGAAGAAAUGAAAAACAUAACUGUGUUAUACCUUAUAAUUUGCCUUUGCAUGGAACCAUCGUUUGCAGAUAAGAAGUUGUUCAGAGUUAAGCAGGUUACUUGUGGACGUAUUAUUGAAAAAUAUAUGGGGAAUGGAGCUUGUAACGCACACUGUCGAAGUAUUGACAAAGGUAGAGGGGAAUGUAGAGGUGGAACCUGUAAUUGUAAGCCAAACUCCCAGUUGCAAUGCACAGAUCCGACCUGUCAAUCAUACCAACAAUAUUGGCCUGUAAGAUAAUGUGUUAUCCGUCAAUCUGCUAUCUUUGUUGCUAAGGUACCAUAGUGUCUCACAAGCUUACAGUAACUAAAUAGGCCUACCUGCAGACUGUGAAGUUCUAAAUAAUCAAAGCACUGAAAGUUCUGAGAGCAAGGGGCUUAUUGCAAAUCAUGGAUGUCAGUUAUACAUAUGUAUACGCUCAUUAAUACCAGUCUAUUAGGAACCAUCAUUAAAGUCAUACAUUCAAAAACC